This 433-nucleotide ribosomal RNA is filed under the name uncultured bacterium. Its description in RNAcentral is "partial 16S ribosomal RNA". It matches the Rfam family "Bacterial small subunit ribosomal RNA", at positions 36 to 507 of the family's 1533-position model. The record is from RNAcentral.
CCCUCCCUCUUUCUUCAUGCCUAACACAUGCAAGUCGAACGAGACCUUCGGGUCUAGUGGCGCACGGGUGCGUAACGCGUGGGAACCUGCCCUUAGGUUCGGAAUAACUCCCCGAAAGGGGUGCUAAUACCGGAUAAUGUCUUCGGACCAAAGAUUUAUCGCCUUUGGAUGGGCCCGCGUUGGAUUAGCUAGUUGGUAGGGUAAAAGCCUACCAAGGCGACGAUCCAUAGCUGGUCUGAGAGGAUGAUCAGCCACACUGGGACUGAGACACGGCCCAGACUCCUACGGGAGGCAGCAGUGGGGAAUAUUGGACAAUGAGCGAAAGCCUGAUCCAGCAAUGCCGCGUGAGUGAUGAAGGCCUUAGGGUUGUAAAGCUCUUUUACCCGGGAUGAUAAUGACAGUACCGGGAGAAUAAGCUCCGGCUAACUCCGUG